Molecule: microRNA, 21 nt
Filed under: Picea abies (Norway spruce)
Lineage: Eukaryota; Viridiplantae; Streptophyta; Pinopsida; Pinales; Pinaceae
Description: pab-miR11409b
Source: miRBase by way of RNAcentral
AUAUUUGAUCCCUCUUGGCGC